AAUGAGUUCUGUGCUUUCAAAAUACAGUGGUGUGAUAGGCAUAGGAUAAACAAUCCCAUUCUAAAAGGGAAAAUAAUAGGAAAGAAGAAAGGAGUAACAGAGCUUGAGAAGAAUCUUUGACCUGAUGUUCUGCCCUCCAGGCCCACUGAGGAUGGAUCCCAUGUACCAGACCCAUUGAGGCAGCAGUCUGACCCCUGCAGACUUGUUGGGCAGGGGUUGACCCAAAGCUUCAGGCAGCUCUGUACCCAUGGCAGUUCUCUGCCUUGACCCUGCAGCUUUCCAGGGCUGGGGUCCCAAGUCCAUGACUCUACCAGGAGGCCUCAUCCUUUGAAAUCUAGGUGGGGACAACCAUACCCUGACAGCUGUGCUGAACAUAGCUCAGGCCACACUGAGGUCCACCAGAAUGCUACCCAGGGUUGCUGAGGAGAACAGAGCUGGAGUGUAGGGAAUGGAGUCCUUGAUGUGAGGCAAGGUCUGUAUGCGGAACUCCUAUGCACACCAGGCAUCAGCAAGCCUCUUCUUUGAAACCGUUCUAUCCCUCUCUGCCCCCAACCCUUGUACUGUGGGCCUGUAAUGGAAGGGAUAACCCUGAUGGUCUCUGAAUUGCCUCCAGGCGUUCUCCAUUCUCUUGGGGAAGAGCUGGUAGCUUCUGUUGAGAUGGUUGACAAAUCUCCUUAUCAAACAGUUGUUUGGCCACCCCCUUAGUUUUCUCUCUUAAACCAGGUUUCUCAUUCCAAUAUGGAUACACUGAGAAUUUUCCAAAUCUUUAAGUUCUGCCUCCCUUUUGAUGAACCAUCCCAUCUUUAAAUAAUUUCUUUUUUCUCAUUUUAUUAUAAGCAAUCAGAAGAAACCAGUCCACUCCUUCACGCUUCACUUAGACAUUUCUGCAGCCAAAUAUCCAGUUUCAUUUCUUGCAAGUUCUACUUUACACAAAACACUGGGACAGGAACACAAUUCAGCCAAGUUCCUUAAGACUUUACAACAGAGACCACCUUCCUCCAGUUUUCAAUAACAAGUUCUUCUUUUCUGUCUGAGACCUCAUCAGAACAGCUUUUACUGUUCAUAUUUCUACCAACCUUCUCUUCAAGAUUA
This 1092-nucleotide long non-coding RNA is filed under the name Macaca fascicularis (crab-eating macaque). RNAcentral's name for it is "lncRNA (ENSMFAG00000048808.1)". Lineage: Eukaryota; Metazoa; Chordata; Mammalia; Primates; Cercopithecidae. The record is from RNAcentral.